Long non-coding RNA from Nematostella vectensis (starlet sea anemone), 971 nucleotides. RefSeq lists it as uncharacterized. The transcript has 2 exons. Lineage: Eukaryota; Metazoa; Cnidaria; Anthozoa; Actiniaria; Edwardsiidae. The record is from RefSeq and is a predicted model, not a curated record.
UUUCUAAAUGCAAAGCAAGACAAAUCUGAUUUUUCUUUCUUUCUUCACAGAUACCAACAUCGUCAAAUCGGUAAGAAAGCAAAAGUUUUCACAGAACUCCCCUCUUAAUGAAAAUAUGUAAAAAGGGAACAAAUGAUGGUUAUAAAGAAACAGAGCUUAACACUUACUACUAUCCUCAAUCAUCUCAGCUCCUGUUUUUGCAGAAGCUACAACUCCAGCAGCAGACUCGACAACUAAAACAAAAAGUAAAAUGGGAUUCAACCCAAAAAUGCAUUAUGUAAUGUGCCCAGAUGUGCCCAAGCAGAGUAGAGUCUGGGCCUAUUGGAAAGUGUUUUACCAUCUUUAGAAGCCCCGUGUAGAGCUUGGAGCUUGUUACUGCCUCGAUGAGCCUUCACACGUGAGGCUGCCACCUGGGUUUGUAACAGUGAAUAGUUAGUGUUUAAACUUAUCAUUUGCCAUAGAUCAUCAUAUUUUACUAACUUAUUAUUUGGGUCACACAGCUUUAAUCAAAAGUCAGGUAGUGAGAGAUUUUCUAUAUUCUGUGAGCUUUGGUCGAUACUGCUAAAAACAACUUUCUGACUUUCCUCAUUUGAACUAAUAGGAAUCAAUUGUGUGAUUUUUGAUGAUUGAGCCAGAACUUAGCUGUUUAGCUGUUCCGAUCAUUUUUAAAUGGAAACAAAUAUUGCCUUCUCUAUAAAAUGUAAUUCUUCUUCAAGGUUCAAUAAUUGUGCUUUAGGUACAUACCAGUUGUGCUGUGCUUGCAGUGAUUUCAUUAGAUGCCACCACAAGCUCCUCAAAUUUGCCUUUACCAAGAACCACCUUGUCGGCAGAAUCCCUGGAUAAGAUAUAGAAACCGAGGUCAUCACAUGCUACAGAAGGCUUCUGGGGUGACGCUUGUUCCAGCCCCUACCCCACAUUAUUUCAUAACAUGUUAUACAAAAUUAAUUAAACUUGAUCAAAAUGUCUUAUAA